CCCCCGUCACUGCGUCAUGCCCGCUUCAGCGCGCGGACCUCCUCGGGUACCCGAUGCCAGUUGCCACUCCCUGCCGUUAUAUCCUUUGACACGAGCGCACUCGUUCAUUCAUCGAUUCGUUCGCCCCUUCUCUUACUCCCCCAACCGCAACUUCCACAGGGACCAGGCAUCACUGACACUUCCCGGUGCCAUAGCGCGUGUGCAGCUCAGGAUCCAUACACACGGAUCGCAUAAUGCGAUAACAGCAAAAACUUGGAACGGCCGAACGAAUUGCAUGUGCGUGGAACAGCUGUAGCUAUACGAGCGUGGCAGCGCUUGGGAACUUGUGUCCAAACGAAAACUAUUUUCACCGAAGGAUCUUACGACGUCUCAUUGUCGGUCGAGUAUUAUUGAAUGAAUACUGUGUCCACAACUGUAUAUCAUAAAGUGAAUUUGUUGUAAUGGUAUGGAUAUAGAUAUAUGUAUAUAGCUAUGUCGGUAUAUCUUACAGGUAUAUAUGCGAACAAUGGUAGACGUUCUCGAUAACGCAACAAUAUGGCUAUGAUAAGUGAUAAUCCUACGACGUAUUUGUACGACGAUAAAUCAGAGUAAACAUACGACCUUGAACGUGGAAGUACCUACAUUGCCCACGAUUCUCUUCUGGUUGCUAUCAGUCAUUCCUUCCACUAUCGGAAGAAUGAAAUGGCAAAGGAAAAUAAAUGAUCUUCUGCAUAAUCUGCAAUCAUGUGUAUUAUAUGUUGCUGAGUAAUAAAAUUAUGGUCUUAAAAAUGCAA
Molecule: long non-coding RNA, 773 nt
Filed under: Neodiprion lecontei (redheaded pine sawfly)
Lineage: Eukaryota; Metazoa; Arthropoda; Insecta; Hymenoptera; Diprionidae
Description: uncharacterized LOC124292617, transcript variant X2
Source: RNAcentral